CCUACGGGUGGCUGCAGUGGGGAAUAUUGCACAAUGGGCGCAAGCCUGAUGCAGCGACGCCGCGUGAGGGAUGACGGCCUUCGGGUUGUAAACCUCUUUCAGCUCCGACGAAGCGCAAGUGACGGUAGGAGCAGAAGAAGCACCGGCCAACUACGUGCCAGCAGCCGCGGUAAUACGUAGGGUGCAAGCGUUGUCCGGAAUUACUGGGCGUAAAGAGCUCGUAGGCGGUUUGUCGCGUCGUCUGUGAAAUUCUGCAGCUUAACUGCAGGCGUGCAGGCGAUACGGGCAGACUUGAGUACUACAGGGGAGACUGGAAUUCCUGGUGUAGCGGUGAAAUGCGCAGAUAUCAGGAGGAACACCGGUGGCGAAGGCGGGUCUCUGGGUUGUAACUGACGCUGAGGAGCGAAAGCGUGGGUAGCGAACAGGCUUAGAUACCCCUGUAGUC
Molecule: ribosomal RNA, 445 nt
Filed under: uncultured Gordonia sp.
Lineage: Bacteria; Bacillati; Actinomycetota; Actinomycetes; Mycobacteriales; Gordoniaceae
Description: bacterial SSU rRNA
Rfam family: Bacterial small subunit ribosomal RNA
Source: RNAcentral